GCUAAAUAAUUAAAAACAAUGUUGACUGUAAGAUAAGUACAUAUAAUAAAAGAUUUGCUGUGGGUAUUUGUAUUUUUAGUAUCCGUAUUCACUAAAAUGUUUGUAAAAUUAGCAAUAUUAGAGUUCAAAUUUUAGAUUAUGGUUUAGAAAUACUACAGCAUACGAUUUUAAGUUUUUUGGUACGUUUACAAUUUUCACAAUACAUGGUGAUUAGAGGUGGAGAACUAUCUAUCUGUGCCACCGAUAGUUAUUGAUAGUUUCCAUAAACUAUCGACUAUCGAUGAUAGCAAGGAAAAACUAUAUAGAGCAGUAAAAGAAAAUAAUUUAAUAAUUUUUUAAAAUAAUCCAUAUUUGUUUAAAGUAUGAGAGUAUGAAAUGUGUUUUCCAAUCUUUAUCUAAAAAUAAUAAAUAAUUAUUAUUCAAAUAAUAUAAAUUUUUAAUUUUUAGGUUUACCUUAACUGCUAUUUAUAUAUUUAUUUCAAAAAAUAAUUUUGUACGCCUAUAGAGAUUUGUCACGUUUUUCUGAAGACCCUCUACGACUCUACGGAGCAAGCGGGUAUACAAAGAAAUUUGAAAAAAUAUCGACCACUAUCGACGAUAGCGAUUGACCAUAGUUCGAUAGUUCUCCACCUCUAAUGCUGAUGCUUUUUUAGUAGUGACCUAGCUGUGAGUUUUCAUGAUAUUAAAGCAAAAUUCUAAGUCGCUUUAUUAUCAAAAAGCAAUUGUCACUAUCGAUCAUUAUCGAUAUCAAUUUUAGGCUCCCCCCUGGUAACCAAAAGUAAUCCCCAAUUACGUUUCGUGUCAUGCCAUGCCCGUGACUGACAGACAGUCCAGUAGAUCGCUGAAUGACUCGUCAUGCAGACUGCUGUAAGCGCCUUCUCUUGCGCAACGCGUAAUUUCCCUAACGCCUUUUCUCAAAAAACUCUGAAAAUUUACGUAAACAUGACCAGUUCCUGUUAGAAGUCUAGUUUUAGACUCGGGAUUAUUUUUCGAGCAUGUGCAAUUUUGUGUAUCAUGCAUCAUUUGUUUUGUGAGUGCUGUACGAAAAAGUUGAUUUUUUCUGCACAUCUUUUAUAAAACAAUCAGAGUUUUAGGGACUACGAAAGAGCUGUGUGGGAUGUCUUCUCAGAAAUUAAAAAUAUAAACUACAAGGCAUUGUCCAGGGCGAAGAAAAUAGAAAACGGCGGAAUAAAUCAAUUUUUUCAUUUAGCUAUUAGAUUAUUUAGUUAUCAAGUAAAACUGUAUAAACUGUAAGUACACAUUGGAUUAGUUUAAAAAAAUUUUGAUUAGAAAUACAAUAAACAUUUUAUUUACUGCAUAUAUGUA
Drosophila nasuta is the source of this 1326-nucleotide long non-coding RNA. RefSeq lists it as uncharacterized. NCBI's taxonomy places the organism in Eukaryota, Metazoa, Arthropoda, Insecta, Diptera, Drosophilidae. The record is from RefSeq and is a predicted model, not a curated record. The transcript is spliced from 2 exons.